Long non-coding RNA from Hyaena hyaena (striped hyena), 437 nucleotides. RefSeq lists it as uncharacterized. The record is from RefSeq and is a predicted model, not a curated record. Lineage: Eukaryota; Metazoa; Chordata; Mammalia; Carnivora; Hyaenidae. The transcript has 5 exons.
AAACGGUCAAAAGCAACUCCAGGAAAUGCAAGCCAGGCAGCGAGCGCCCAACACUUUUCCGGGUAUUCGUGUCACGACAGCUUCCGGGGGAAGAAGGGAUUUAAAAAAUCCUUAUUUCUAGAACUUCUCUGGCCACAAACAACAGCCAGUACCAAAUACAGCUUUUCAAAUGUCCAGCAUGAAAUAAUUCCUAAGAUCAUGAUUGUGGAAGCAGAAAACCUGUUAAUCUUCUCAUCAUAUGUCUUGGAGCCCAGCAUGCUGACUAUGAAAUAGUAGGACUUGUGUCAACUUUAGUUGCUGCAUUCAUCAACUUGGAAAGCCUGUAGCCUUGGACAAAGGUGUCAUUUGCACAGGAAAAUGUGAAGGAAUUCAAGAGGUGCUGGGCACCAGUCACCAAGGAGAAAGGACAAUAAAGGGAUGUGUAAAGUACUCAAGAG